This 262-nucleotide ribosomal RNA is filed under the name Clostridioides difficile. Its description in RNAcentral is "partial 23S ribosomal RNA". It matches the Rfam family "Bacterial large subunit ribosomal RNA", at positions 2579 to 2843 of the family's 2925-position model. Lineage: Bacteria; Bacillati; Bacillota; Clostridia; Peptostreptococcales; Peptostreptococcaceae. The record is from RNAcentral.
GUUCGCCCAUUAAAGUGGUACGCGAGCUGGGUUCAGAACGUCGUGAGACAGUUCGGUCCCUAUCCGUCGCAGGCGUAGGAAAUUUGAGAAGACCUGUCCUUAGUACGAGAGGACCGGGAUGGACGUACCUCUGGGGUACCAGUUGUCCUGCCAAGGGCAUGGCUGGGUAGCUAUGUACGGAAUGGAUAAGCGCUGAAAGCAUCUAAGCGCGAAGCCAACUUCAAGAUAAGAUUUCCCACCGCAAGGGUAAGACCCCAGAAAG